AUCCAGCUGACGAGUCCCAUAUUGGACGAAACGCGCGUUCUGGUU
This 45-nucleotide non-coding RNA is filed under the name Schistosoma mansoni. The record is from RNAcentral. Lineage: Eukaryota; Metazoa; Platyhelminthes; Trematoda; Strigeidida; Schistosomatidae.